UGAACAUAAUAAAUUGUUGUUUAGCUGAAGAUUUAAGAGAGGUACCUGGAAAGUUGCAAUGGAGUUGAGGGAAUAGCAGAACCUGGGUUCUGCUCUUCAUUAUUCUGGAUUUCAGGGCCUUGCAGACCUUUGUCCAUCACACUUUUAGGGGAAAGUUGUGUGAGGAAUACGAUCUGUAUCUCAGAUGCACAAUCAAGAAACCAGUCAAUCAGAGUGCAAUCAAGAUAAUCAAGCGGAAUCACCAAUAAAACUUACCAUCCUUUCUUCCAAAUGCAUUUUUACAACCCUCACAUCUGCAGCUAAUGGAGCAUCCAACACCACCCUUUGCGAAAGACAAAUGGUUUAAAUAAGAUCCGGCUCAGAAAAAUAAUAAAGAUAAUUAAAAAAACAUGUAUACCCAAGGGGUAAAACCUGAUAGCAUUCACAAUAUUUCUUAAGACAACUUGAUUUCUUGCAGUUGCAUCCUCUUUUAUGCCGUGCAGAUGCUGGGGUUUUGUUAGAUUCAUCCUGAAAGAAACAAAUUUCCCAUGUUAUCAUCUUGCAGCUUCACAAAAAAAAAAUCUAAACGGAGAUUUUCAUACCCCUGGUUCUGGGAGAGAAUCCGAGUUCCUGAUCACUUUGGGAGCAAAUGCAAGCGGAUUGCGAGAUUCAAUCUGCUUACGAGUUGCAAGAACGGUAUCUUCAUGAAUAGGUUUGUUAAAGCAAUCUUGACAUGAACAUGGCUCAAUACAGUAAACGCCAGCUGCAAAGCAUUCACAGUAACUGCAAAUAGAGGACAAAAGUCAAAUACAAUACUUACCGAGACAAGUUCAAAAUUACAGCGUUUGCAUGAUGACUCGGUUUCUCCAGCAGGUUCCAACCUACGCCUGCAAAACCAUUAGGCCUCCAUUAGAUAACAAGCAAGCACAUAUGCAGAUGCCCUAGCACCAUCUUCCUCAUUUUGCACCCCAUUCCCUGACGGAUCCAUGUCCCUUUCAGUAACAGCUGAUGUCAAGAGAGGAUCCAGUCCACCUGAAGGUGAAUGGCAUGAAGCACUUGAAUUGGGCAAAUUGAGUUGCCUCUCAGAUGAAAACUUUUCAUGAUUGAGAUUUUUGGCAUCCUUUGAAGUUGUUGCCAAAGCAUUCAAGUGUAAACCUAUUCCAGUUAAAACGCAUCUGGUUGCAACACCACCAGACUUAUAAGGGACAAGUUGUUUAUCCAUGGACGCCGUCUUCUCUUCUGGAUGUGUCGACACAGAACCACCAUUUGAAGUAUCUUCUAAGUUUUUUCUUCGACUGACUGCAGCCUCAAAGUCCAGACACCGCCUCCGCAUACCACGAUACAAAUUAGAUGCCGGCUGUAAGCAAACAACAAGCCAUAACUAAUAUUAUUAAAUAUCCAGAACAUAUUGCAUUAAUCAAAAGCUAAAAAAAAGUUAAUAAGCAAACCUAACGUAACAAGAUACUCAAAAUUAAUGGGAUUGACGAAUGGUGAAACAGGCUCUAUAUGUUAGCUCAGCAAAUUCAUAUUGGCAUGGAUACAAUGUAGUGGCCUGGCAAUUAGGGUAAUAAAAACAUUGAAAAGUUUAGUUUAAAAGAAAUAUAUGAGGUUAUCCUUCAUGAUCAACAUAUAUUCUUUUCCUUAUCUCAAUUUCAUUGCCCAUUAUUUCCUUGAACAUCUGACAUGCAUGAUGCAAAAAGUUAAACCACGGAAUUUUCAUAAAAUGUUUCAGCGGAGACAAUUAAACGUUAAUACCUUACAAUCAUCUGCUAUAUAUCUAGCCACUUCAUCAUCUGUUAUUUCCCUACUCACAGAGUUACUUGAAUUUGGAAAGGAAAGGCUAUCCAUUCCUUGGUCCAUAUCUUUUAGUUCACAAGCUUCUCCAGCUUGAGAUGACAAAAACUCUAUUUCAUGCUGUCCACCACUACAUUCUAUUGGAUCAGCAAUUCUCAUUUUUGACAGAUUGGCAUUGUCAUUUUCCAUGAUCUGAGACAAGGUACUUGAUGCAAACCCUGUCACAAGGUCUAAUGGUUUCUGAACUAGUCGGAUAGCCUCCGAGCCGUUGGGAGAGCUGAAUAUCAAAAGAUCGGCACCUUCAGUAAUUAAACUUUCCCAGUCAUAACCAGUCCCCUCUCUUUCUUCAGUGUGGUUUAUGACCUGCUUAUUCUCUUCAGCUUCAGAUGACUCAUUCCCAGAUUUAUUUUUAACACAGGAGUCACUUAAAGCCGGAUCUUCACCUGAUUUUAGAACACUAUCUGGUAGCUUUUGGUCACAAUCUGGAUGAGAAGAAUCACUCUUUGAUGCUUGUGGCUCUUCAUUAGUGGACACUGGACGCUCAGAAGGCAGCUCAGUAGAUGGAUUAGAAAGAGAAUCAGAUUUGCCAUCCGGUGCACUAGAGUCAUCCUGCAAUUCAGCCACAUUCCCUGUAGCACCUCUAUCAGUCUCAACUUUACUCCCAUCUUCGGUAGAAAAGUCUGGUUUUGAUAGAUCUGAAAUACUGUGUCUGUUGACAAAUAAAGUUUCAAUUAUAUGAAGAGUGGAAUAGACUGUAGUUA
Long non-coding RNA from Cucumis melo (muskmelon), 2534 nucleotides. RefSeq lists it as uncharacterized. The transcript has 4 exons. The record is from RefSeq and is a predicted model, not a curated record. NCBI's taxonomy places the organism in Eukaryota, Viridiplantae, Streptophyta, Magnoliopsida, Cucurbitales, Cucurbitaceae.